UUCCGGUUGAUCCUGCCGGACCUGACUGCUAUCGGAUUGAUACUAAGCCAUGCGAGUCAUUGCAGCAAUGCAAGGCAGACGGCUCAGUAACGCGUAGUCAACCUAACCUAUGGACGGGAAUAACCUCGGGAAACUGAGAAUAAUGCCCGAUAGAACACUAUACCUGGAAUGGUUUGUGUUCCAAAUGAUUUAUCGCCGUAGGAUGGGACUGCGGCCUAUCAGUUUGUUGGUGAGGUAAUGGCCCACCAAGACUAUUACAGGUACGGGCUCUGAGAGGAGUAGCCCGGAGAUGGGUACUGAGACACGGACCCAGGCCCUAUGGGGCGCAGCAGGCGAGAAAACUUUGCAAUGUGCGAAAGCACGACAAGGUUAAUCCGAGUGGUUUCUGCUAAAGGAACCUUUUGUUAGUCCUAGAAACACUAACGAAUAAGGGGUGGGCAAGUUCUGGUGUCAGCCGCCGCGGUAAAACCAGCACCUCAAGUGGUCAGGAUGAUUAUUGGGCCUAAAGCAUCCGUAGCCGGCUCUGUAAGUUUUCGGUUAAAUCUGUACGCUCAACGUACAGGCUGCCGGGAAUACUGCAGAGCUAGGGAGUGGGAGAGGUAGACGGUACUCGGGAGGAAGUGGUAAAAUGCUUUGAUCUCUCGAUGACCACCUGUGGCGAAGGCGGUCUACCAGAACACGUCCGACGGUGAGGGAUGAAAGCUGGGGGAGCAAACCGGAUUAGAUACCCGGGUAGUCCCAGCUGUAAACUAUGCAAACUCAGUGAUGCAUUGGCUUGUGGCCAAUGCAGUAUUGCAGGG
Molecule: ribosomal RNA, 800 nt
Filed under: uncultured crenarchaeote
Lineage: Archaea; Thermoproteati; Thermoproteota
Description: bacterial SSU rRNA
Rfam family: Archaeal small subunit ribosomal RNA
Source: RNAcentral